Molecule: ribosomal RNA, 566 nt
Filed under: uncultured bacterium
Lineage: Bacteria
Description: bacterial SSU rRNA
Rfam family: Bacterial small subunit ribosomal RNA
Source: RNAcentral
UCCUACGGGAGGCAGCAGUGAGGAAUAUUGCGCAAUGGGCGAAAGCCUGACGCAGCAACGCCGCGUGAAUGAUGAAGUUUUUCGGAAUGUAAAGUUUAGUCACCAGAGAUGAUAAUGACAGUAUCUGGAGAGGAAACCCCGGCUAAGUACGUGCCAGCAGCCGCGGUAAGACGUGCGGGGUAAGCGUUAUCCGGAAUCACUGGGCAUAAAGAGUGUGUAGGCGGAAAUGUGUGUCAGGUGUGAAAGGCUUUGGCCUAACCAAAGUAAGCACUUGAAACUGCAUUUCUAGAGGAUAGUAGAGGAAAGCGGAACUUACGGUGUAGCGGUGAAAUGUGUAGAUAUCGUAAGGAACACCAGUUGCGAAGGCUGCUUUCUGGGCUAUUUCUGACGCUAAAGCACGAAAGCGUGGGUAGCGAACGGGAUUAGAUACCCCGGUAGUCCACGCCGUAAACGUUGUUCACUAAGUGUAGGGAGAAUCGAUCCUCUCUGUGCCACAGAUAAUUCUUUAAGUGAACCGCCUGGGAAGUACGACCGCAAGGUUAAAACUCAAAAGGAAUUGACGGGGA